CUGCCUUCCUCCCCUGUGAUUUAGGGCUUCAUUCCACAGGCAUGUGCUGGCGUUUGUUUCGUGCCAGGGCAUGGUCACAGACAACAGGCCUUAAAUUCUCAGGAGUUAGCACAGCCGUGACACAAGACAGGUUGAUUGCCUCAAAUGCUCUCUUAAUCAGCACUCUCAAACUGCUUCCUUCUUCCUGGGGGGUCAGGUCUCGGGUCAAAGUGUUGACUUGUUGUGUUUCCAACCAUUCCCAUCGUGGCAUGUUGACGACGCCACCCAGAAGAGGGUGCUUUUUGGCUUACGCUGGGGAUCUCCCUUAAUCGCGUAGCAGACCUGCGGCUACCUGAAGCCUCUCUCCCUUAGGCUUCCCGCUCCAAUGCGGUGUCGGCCAAAGGGCUCAGAUCUUACUUCCAGGUUCCCACACCACCUACAAUGCCAACCCUUCUGGUGCUCACCAUAGAGAAAAUCAGACCAAAGAGAAAUAACGUGUUAACGACAGUUGAGAUCUUUCUGAUGGGCUCUAUUUUAUUGGAAAGAAUGGCGUUCCACCAAGAGCAGCUAGGGUCCCAUGCUUCUAAGACAAGUGGGGCCGUCUAAUUCUUCCCCUUCCCCAUCAGGAAGGAGAAAACUCAGGAGCUGGUUGUCAACAAGGAAGUGAAGUCAUGGUCCAAGGUGCACAGGGUCCCGCAACUUAUCCAUAGAAGCCACAGAAGAUGAGCUCGCUCCAGUUUUAUUCAACUCCAAGGAGUCUUGGAUUCAUCAUCACUCCACCUUGUGUGGCUCAAGAGAUCAUUGUCUCCUGUUCCCAUGUGGUUUUGCCUUGGACAAAGAGAACAAAAGUUGAUCCUGGAACAGCCUUAUCUUCAGCCACUCUCUGGGGGAGUUUCCUUAUUUACAUGCAAGCCAUGAUCUUUCCAAUGAUGUUUCACAUGGGACCCCGAAACAGAUGAGAUAAUUGGAGAAGCAGUGGGACUUUCUGAGGACAUGUAGGCCAAUCACUGAGUUCACUUCUUGAAAAUUAGUCACCUUGUAAAAUUUAAAAAAUAUGUGUAUGUGUAUAUAUAUGUGUAUACACACACACACACAUAUAUAAACAAAUAGAAAUGAAUAAAAAUCAUUGGCUUUGACAAAUAUGUUCAACUAUCUGUUAAAAUAGCUCUUGAUUCUUAGUCCUUUCCACCAUUUAUGUCCAUAUAAUGAUGUGAG
This is a long non-coding RNA of Herpailurus yagouaroundi (jaguarundi), 1194 nucleotides long. RefSeq lists it as uncharacterized. NCBI's taxonomy places the organism in Eukaryota, Metazoa, Chordata, Mammalia, Carnivora, Felidae. The transcript is spliced from 4 exons. The record is from RefSeq and is a predicted model, not a curated record.